AUUGAACGCUGGCGGCAGGCCUAACACAUGCAAGUCGAGCGGAUGAAGGGAGCUUGCUCCUGGAUUCAGCGGCGGACGGGUGAGUAAUGCCUAGGAAUCUGCCUGGUAGUGGGGGAUAACGUCCGGAAACGGGCGCUAAUACCGCAUACGUCCUGAGGGAGAAAGUGGGGGAUCUUCGGACCUCACGCUAUCAGAUGAGCCUAGGUCGGAUUAGCUAGUUGGUGGGGUAAAGGCCUACCAAGGCGACUACCCGUAACUGGUCUGAGAGGAUGAUCAGUCACACUGGAACUGAGACACGGUCCAGACUCCUACGGGAGGCAGCAGUGGGGAAUAUUGGACAAUGGGCGAAAGCCUGAUCCAGCCAUGCCGCGUGUGUGAAGAAGGUCUUCGGAUUGUAAAGCACUUUAAGUUGGGAGGAAGGGCAGUAAGUUAAUACCUUGCUGUUUUGACGUUACCAACAGAAUAAGCACCGGCUAACUUCGUG
RNAcentral lists this ribosomal RNA (484 nucleotides) under uncultured bacterium. Its description in RNAcentral is "partial 16S ribosomal RNA". It matches the Rfam family "Bacterial small subunit ribosomal RNA", at positions 30 to 507 of the family's 1533-position model. The record is from RNAcentral.